AGCUCUUAAUUCGUUCUGCGGAGAGAGAAAGCAGACAGGGACUGGAGGAGAUGAUGCAGACAUGAGUGUGUCACUGCCAGCUCAUAGCAUGAUCAUAGCAUGAUUAUAUCGUAAAGUACUGCACCUCUGACAGCGAAACAUUCGCUAUUUCUAAGAGAAAAAUGAAAGUGGCAAAAAAAGAGGAAGAGAUGCAAUCUAAUGAAUCGAGAGAGAGAGAGAUGCGGAGAAAGAGCAUUAAUAGCGGCAGACCAAACUUUUCUCAUGAUCCAGACAAACCUGAAGAGAUUCAUUCUGAUGAUUCAGAUGGAGACACAGGCGAGGUAUCUGAAAUAUGAUUUUACUGGAGAAGAUCAGAGGCAGAAUCUCUUUCAUCAGAGUUUAACCUGCAUUCUGCUAUAAAAAUA
This is a long non-coding RNA of Carassius carassius (crucian carp), 404 nucleotides long. RefSeq lists it as uncharacterized. The record is from RefSeq and is a predicted model, not a curated record. Lineage: Eukaryota; Metazoa; Chordata; Actinopteri; Cypriniformes; Cyprinidae. The transcript is spliced from 3 exons.